UACGUAGGGAGCGAGCGUUGUCCGGAUUCAUUGGGCGUAAAGAGCUCGUAGGCGGCCACUCAAGUCGAAUGUGAAACCUCGAGGCUUAACCUCGAGCCUGCAUUCGAUACUGGGCGGCUAGAGUCUGGUAGGGGGAUCUGGAAUUCCUGGUGUAGCGGUGGAAUGCGCAGAUAUCAGGAGGAACACCGGUGGCGAAGGCGGGAUCCUGGGCCAGUACUGACGCUCAUGCACGAAAGCGUGGGGAGCAAACAGG
RNAcentral lists this ribosomal RNA (253 nucleotides) under uncultured bacterium. RNAcentral describes it as "partial 16S ribosomal RNA". It matches the Rfam family "Bacterial small subunit ribosomal RNA", at positions 524 to 776 of the family's 1533-position model. The record is from RNAcentral.